UCUGUUAUAAAACAGAUAGGAGUUAGGAUUAUAUGGGUUAUGAGUAAAAUUUCUUCAGGAAUCCUUUAUAGCAGGUGACAGGAUCAUUCAUUUCUGCUAGCCAAGAGAGAAUGAGGCUCUCUCAGCUUUGAUAAGAACAGCAGACAUCUUACCAGAGAUUGGAGUUAGUCAGUGUGAUGUGUUGGAGGGUGCUUGGGGCAGGAUGGAGGAGGAUCAGCUCAAAUAAACCCUACAGAUGAAGAGUGGAGGUGGGGGCUGAGUCUCCUGAAGAAAAUCAAAACCCUGGUUCCAAAAGAAGGGGUGUAUUGGCCAGGUUUUGCUAGUAUAAUACUGUGUAACAAACAACCCUAACACUCACUGGCUUGCUUAAACAACAAAUGGGUCAUGGUUGGCUGGGUUCAUGUUUGCUUCACAUGUUUUUCUCAUUCUGGGACCCAAGCUGAAGGAACGGGCUCAAUAUGGGACACGUGGAUUUCUGGAAGGGCAGGAGCUCCAGAGAAACUGGUCAUCGAUAGGCCAGAGGUUGGCAAACUGCAGGCCCACCGCCCGUUUCUAUGACUUUCAAGAAAGGUAAAAACGCAACUGAAACGCAAAGAAAGAUACGUGCAGUGUAUGGAGAAGGUGUUAUGACUGAUCGAACGCGUCAAAAGUGGUCUGUGAAGUUUCGUGCUGGAGAUUUCUCACUGGACGAUGCUCCACAGUCGGGUAGACCAGUUGAAGUUGAUAGCGAUUAAAUCAAGACAUUAACUGAGAACAGUCAACGUUAUACCACGCGGGAGAUAGCCAACAUCCUCAAAAUAUUCAAAUCAAGCGCUGAGAAUCAUUUGCACCAGCUUGGUUACAUGAAUCGCUUUGAUGUUUGGGUUCCACAUAAGUUAAGCAAAAAAAAAACUUCUUGAACAUAUUUCCCCAUGCAAUUCUCUGCUUAAAAGUAAUGAAAACGUUCCGUUUUUAAAACAAAUUGUGACAGGCAAUGAAAAGUGGAUACUGUACAAUAAUGUGGAAUGGAAGAGAUCAUGGGGCAAGCGAAAUGAACCGCCAACAACCACACCAAACGCCGGUCUUCAUCCAAAGAAGGUGAUGUUGUGUAUAUGGUGGGAUUGGAAGGGAAACCUCUAUUAUGAGCUCCUUCCGGAAAACCGAACGAUUAAUUCCAACAAGUACUGCUCCUGAUUAGGCCAACUGAAAGAAGCACUCGACGAAAAGCAUCCAGAAUUAGCCAACAGAAAACGCAUAAUCUUCCAUCAGGGUAAUGCAAGACCGCAUGUUUCUUUGAUGACCAGGCAAACACUGUUACAGCUUGUCUGGGAAGUUCUGAUUCAUCAGCCAUAUUCACUAGACAUUGCACCUUCGGAUUUCCAUUUAUUUUGGUCUUUACAAAAUUCUCUUAAUGGAAAAAAUUUCAAUUCCCUGGAAGACUAUAAAAGGCACCUGGAACAUUUCUGUGCUCAAAAAGAUCAAAAGUUUUGGGAAGAUGGAAUUAUGAAGUUCCUGACAAAAUGGCAGAAGGUAGUGGAACAAAAGGGUG
This is a long non-coding RNA of Lagenorhynchus albirostris (white-beaked dolphin), 1528 nucleotides long. RefSeq lists it as uncharacterized. Lineage: Eukaryota; Metazoa; Chordata; Mammalia; Artiodactyla; Delphinidae. The record is from RefSeq and is a predicted model, not a curated record. The transcript has 3 exons.